RNAcentral lists this ribosomal RNA (254 nucleotides) under uncultured bacterium. RNAcentral's name for it is "partial 16S ribosomal RNA". It matches the Rfam family "Bacterial small subunit ribosomal RNA", at positions 524 to 776 of the family's 1533-position model. The record is from RNAcentral.
UACGUAGGGUCCAAGCGUUGUCCGGAUUUAUUGGGCGUAAAGAGCUCGUAGGCGGUUUCGUAAGUCGGAUGUGAAAACUCAGGGCUCAACCCGGAGACGCCAUCUGAUACUGCGAUGACUUGAGUCUGGUAGGGGAACACGGAAUUCCUGGUGUAGCGGUGAAAUGCGCAGAUAUCAGGAGGAACACCGGUGGCGAAGGCGGUUCUCUGGGACGGUACUGACGCUGAGACGCGAAAGCGUGGGGAGCGAACAGG